Molecule: ribosomal RNA, 301 nt
Filed under: uncultured bacterium
Lineage: Bacteria
Description: partial 16S ribosomal RNA
Rfam family: Bacterial small subunit ribosomal RNA
Source: RNAcentral
CAGUCGCCGCGGGAACACGUAGGGGGCAAGCGUUAUCCGGAAUUACUGGGUGCAAAGGGAGCGUAGACGGUUAAACAAGUCUGAAGUGAAAUGCCGGGGCUCAACCCCGGAGCUGCUUUGGGAACUGUAGAACUGGAGUGUCGGAGGGGUAAGCGGAAUUCCCAGUGUAGCGGUGAAAUGCGUAGAUAUUGGGAGGAACACCGGCGGCGAAGGCGGCUUACUGGACGACAACUGACGUUGAGGCUCGAAGGCGUGGGUAGCAAACUGGAUUAGAUACCCCCGUAGUCCCUGUCUCUUAUAC